This 876-nucleotide ribosomal RNA is filed under the name uncultured euryarchaeote. Its description in RNAcentral is "bacterial SSU rRNA". It matches the Rfam family "Archaeal small subunit ribosomal RNA", at positions 21 to 903 of the family's 1478-position model. The record is from RNAcentral. Lineage: Archaea; Methanobacteriati; Methanobacteriota.
ACCUGACUGCUAUCGGAUUGAUACUAAGCCAUGCGAGUCAUUGUAGCAAUACAAGGCAUACGGCUCAGUAACGCGUAGUCAACCUAACCUAUGGACGGGAAUAACCUCGGGAAACUGAGAAUAAUGCCCGAUAGAACAUUAUACCUGGAAUGGUUUAUGUUCCAAAUGAUUUAUCGCCGUAGGAUGGGACUGCGGCCUAUCAGUUUGUUGGUGAGGUAAUGGCCCACCAAGACUAUUACAGGUACGGGCUCUGAGAGGAGUAGCCCGGAGAUGGGUACUGAGACACGGACCCAGGCCCUAUGGGGCGCAGCAGGCGAGAAAACUUUGCAAUGUGCGAAAGCACGACAAGGUUAAUCCGAGUGGUUUCUGCUAAAGAAACCUUUUGUUAGUCCUAGAAACACUAACGAAUAAGGGGUGGGCAAGUUCUGGUGUCAGCCGCCGCGGUAAAACCAGCACCUCAAGUGGUCAGGAUGAUUAUUGGGCCUAAAGCAUCCGUAGCCGGCUCUGUAAGUUUUCGGUUAAAUCUGUACGCUCAACGUACAGGCUGCCGGGAAUACUGCAAAGCUAGGGAGUGGGAGAAGUAGACGGUACUCGGUAGGAAGUGGUAAAAUGCUUUGAUCUAUCGAUGACCACCUGUGGCGAAGGCGGUCUACUAGAACACAUCCGACGGUGAGGGAUGAAAGCUGGGGGAGCAAACCGGAUUAGAUACCCGGGUAGUCCCAGCUGUAAACUAUGCAAACUCAGUGAUGCAUUGGCUUGUGGCCAAUGCAGUGCUGCAGGGAAGCCGUUAAGUUUGCCGCCUGGGAAGUACGUACGCAAGUAUGAAACUUAAAGGAAUUGGCGGGGGAGCACCACAAGGGGUGAAGCCUGCGGUUC